UGGGGAAUUUUGGACAAUGGGCGAAAGCCUGAUCCAGCAAUGCCGCGUGUGUGAAGAAGGCCUUCGGGUUGUAAAGCACUUUUGUCCGGAAAGAAAUCCUUGGCUCUAAUACAGUCGGGGGAUGACGGUACCGGAAGAAUAAGCACCGGCUAACUACGUGCCAGCAGCCGCGGUAAUACGUAGGGUGCAAGCGUUAAUCGGAAUUACUGGGCGUAAGCGUGCGCAGGCGGUUUGCUAAGACCGAUGUGAAAUCCCGGGCUCAACCUGGGAACUGCAUUGGUGACUGGCAGGCUAGAGUAUGGCAGAGGGGGGUAGAAUUCCACGUGUAGCAGUGAAAUGCGUAGAGAUGUGGAGGAAUACCGAUGGCGAAGGCAGCCCCCUGGGCCAAUACUGACGCUCAUGCACGAAAGCGUGGGGAGCAAACAGGAUUAGAUACCCUGGUAGUCCACGCCCUAAACGAUGUCAACUAGUUGUUGGGGAUUCAUUUCCUUAGUAACGUAGCUAACGCGUGAAGUUGACCGCCUGGGGAGUACGGUCGCAAGAUUAAAACUC
Molecule: ribosomal RNA, 552 nt
Filed under: uncultured bacterium
Lineage: Bacteria
Description: partial 16S ribosomal RNA
Rfam family: Bacterial small subunit ribosomal RNA
Source: RNAcentral